Small nucleolar RNA from Amblyraja radiata (thorny skate), 129 nucleotides. RefSeq annotates it as small nucleolar RNA SNORA3/SNORA45 family. NCBI's taxonomy places the organism in Eukaryota, Metazoa, Chordata, Chondrichthyes, Rajiformes, Rajidae. The record is from RefSeq and is a predicted model, not a curated record. The transcript has a single exon.
UUCGAGGCUAGAGUCACGCCCUUACAUUUCCGUUGUUUUGGUGUGCUAGAGCUUUCGGAGAGUAAUCACUGAUAUUAUUCACUGGCUGUGACUUUUGUAGCCCAGUCAGCCACAAAAUUAGUGACAUCA